Strongyloides ratti is the source of this 72-nucleotide transfer RNA. It matches the Rfam family "tRNA". From Rfam's summary of the family: Transfer RNA (tRNA) molecules are approximately 80 nucleotides in length. The record is from Rfam. Lineage: Eukaryota; Metazoa; Nematoda; Chromadorea; Rhabditida; Strongyloididae.
UCUCUGGUAGUAUAGUGGUGAGUAUCCGCGCCUGUCACGUGCGAGACCGGGGUUCGAUUCCCCGCCAGAGAG